GGGUGUGAUCAUACCAACAGUAAUGCACAGGAUCCCAUCAGAACUCCCUAGUUAAGUGUGCUUGCAAGAUAGUAGUACUAUGAUGGGUGACCUUCUAGGAAGUCCUCGUGUUUCACCUC
Non-coding RNA from Gossypium hirsutum (cotton), 119 nucleotides. Lineage: Eukaryota; Viridiplantae; Streptophyta; Magnoliopsida; Malvales; Malvaceae. The record is from Rfam.